RNAcentral lists this ribosomal RNA (388 nucleotides) under uncultured bacterium. RNAcentral's name for it is "bacterial SSU rRNA". It matches the Rfam family "Bacterial small subunit ribosomal RNA", at positions 28 to 407 of the family's 1533-position model. The record is from RNAcentral.
GACGAACGCUGGCGGCGUGCUUGACACAUGCAAGUCGAGCGGGAUCCAACCGGUGGCAACACCGGGGAAGAUCUAGCGGCGAACGGGUGAGUAACACGUGAGCAACCUGCCCCGAAGGCUGGGAGUAACACCGGGAAACCGGUGCUAAUACCGGAUGUCGUCAUUAGGCCGCAUGACCUGAUGAUGAAAGGAUUCAUCGCUUCGGGAGGGGCUCGCGGGCUAUCAGCUUAUUGGUGGGGUAACGGCCUACCAAGGCGACGACGGCUAGCUGGUCUGAGAGGACGACCAGCCACACUGGGACUGAGACACGGCCCAGACUCCUACGGGAGGCAGCAGUGGGAAUCUUGCGCAAUGGGCGAAAGCCUGACGCAGCAACGCCGCGUGGGGG